GAGGGUAUAGCUCAGUGGUAGAGUGCAUACCUAGCAUGCAUGAAGUCCUGGGUUCAAUUGCCAGAACCUCCU
This 72-nucleotide transfer RNA is filed under the name Camelus bactrianus (Bactrian camel). It matches the Rfam family "tRNA". From Rfam's summary of the family: Transfer RNA (tRNA) molecules are approximately 80 nucleotides in length. Their secondary structure includes four short double-helical elements and three loops (D, anti-codon, and T loops). Further hydrogen bonds mediate the characteristic L-shaped molecular structure. tRNAs have two regions of fundamental functional importance: the anti-codon, which is responsible for specific mRNA codon recognition, and the 3' end, to which the tRNAs corresponding amino acid is attached (by aminoacyl-tRNA synthetases). tRNAs cope with the degeneracy of the genetic code in two manners: having more than one tRNA (with a specific anti-codon) for a particular amino acid; and 'wobble' base-pairing, i.e. permitting non-standard base-pairing at the 3rd anti-codon position. The record is from Rfam by way of RNAcentral. Lineage: Eukaryota; Metazoa; Chordata; Mammalia; Artiodactyla; Camelidae. RNAcentral also lists the same sequence under 1 other name.